This 254-nucleotide ribosomal RNA is filed under the name uncultured bacterium. Its description in RNAcentral is "partial 16S ribosomal RNA". It matches the Rfam family "Bacterial small subunit ribosomal RNA", at positions 524 to 777 of the family's 1533-position model. The record is from RNAcentral.
UACGGGGGGGGCAAGCGUUGUUCGGAAUUACUGGGCGUAAAGGGCUCGUAGGCGGCCAACUAAGUCAGACGUGAAAUCCCUCGGCUUAACCGGGGAACUGCGUCUGAUACUGGAUGGCUUGAGUUUGGGAGAGGGAUGCGGAAUUCCAGGUGUAGCGGUGAAAUGCGUAGAUAUCUGGAGGAACACCGGUGGCGAAGGCGGCGCUCUGGAACAUUUCUGACGCUGAGGCUCGAAAGCGUGGGGAGCAAACAGGG